AUUGAUUGGUUAAGAGCUGAUUAAUUGGACGUUACCCAGAGAAGAAGCACCGGCUAACUCCGUGCCAGCAGCCGCGGUAAUACGGAGGGUGCAAGCGUUAAUCGGAAUUAUUGGGCGUAAAGGGUGCGUAGGUUGUCUUUUAAGUUAUCUGUGAAAUAACCUGGGCUUAACCCCGGGGGUGGUCAGGUAAUACUGGGGGACGUUGAGUAUAGGAGAGGGCAGUGGAAUUUCCGGUGUAGCGGUGAAAAUGCGUAGAUAUCGGAAGGAACACCGGUGGCGAAGGCGACUGCCUGGCCUAAUACUGACACUGAGGCACGAAAGCGUGGGUAGCAAACAGGAUUAGAUACCCUGGUAG
RNAcentral lists this ribosomal RNA (355 nucleotides) under uncultured bacterium. RNAcentral describes it as "bacterial SSU rRNA". It matches the Rfam family "Bacterial small subunit ribosomal RNA", at positions 444 to 793 of the family's 1533-position model. The record is from RNAcentral.